CCCGCGUGAGAUUAGAUAGUUGGUGAGGUAAAGGCCUCACCAAGGCGACGAUCUAUAGCUGGUCUGAGAGGAUGAUCAGCAACACUGGGACUGAGACACGGCCCAGACUCCUACGGGAGGCAGCAGUGGGGAAUCUUAGACAAUGGGCGCAAGCCUGAUCUAGCCAUGCCGCGUGUGUGAUGAAGGUCUUAGGAUCGUAAAGCACUUU
RNAcentral lists this ribosomal RNA (208 nucleotides) under uncultured bacterium KC504. Its description in RNAcentral is "partial 16S rRNA". It matches the Rfam family "Bacterial small subunit ribosomal RNA", at positions 230 to 436 of the family's 1533-position model. The record is from RNAcentral. Lineage: Bacteria; Pseudomonadati; Pseudomonadota; Alphaproteobacteria.